Molecule: long non-coding RNA, 478 nt
Organism: Homo sapiens (human)
Lineage: Eukaryota; Metazoa; Chordata; Mammalia; Primates; Hominidae
Source: Ensembl
CUCCCCAGCUGGAUGAGGCAGUGGCUGAAGCCCACCUGGGCAAGCUGAAUGUGAAGUUGACCAAGCUAACUGAGAAGCAAGCCCAGUACCUGGGCAUGUCCUGUGAUGGCCCCUUCAAGCCGGAUCACUACCGCUACUGAGAGCCAGCCCUGCCAAGCACCAAUGGCCAGAGACCUGGGGGUUCUUGGUAAAGCUCAUCCCUGUGAAGGACAGUGAACACAGAUCAAGAAGUAUCAGCUGGACCCCAGCAUGGAGGAGCAACUGCAGACUUCAGCAGACUCAUUCAGGUCAAUCACUUGAUGUGGCCUCUUACUGGCAACAUUAGCCAUGGAUUUUGUACCCUUAGGAGCUAUGAUGAAAAAAACAACACAAGAUUAAAUCAAAUGCGAGAGAAAAUAAUGUGCAAACAAGAGAUGCGGUAAACAUGAAAUAUAUGAGGAUACUGUGGGUAUAACAUGACAUACUGUUUUACAGUAAA